This 51-nucleotide microRNA precursor is filed under the name Otolemur garnettii (small-eared galago). Its description in RNAcentral is "mir-1302 microRNA precursor family". It matches the Rfam family "mir-1302 microRNA precursor family". Lineage: Eukaryota; Metazoa; Chordata; Mammalia; Primates; Galagidae. The record is from Rfam by way of RNAcentral.
UUUUUAGUAUAAGUAUGUCUCAUGCUCUAUUGGGACAUACUUAUGCUAACA